UUUGUGGUCAAGCAUGUAAGGGCGUAUGGGGGAUGUCUAGGCGUCAAAAGGCGAUGAAGGGCGUGGAAGGCUGCGAAAUGCCUGGGGGAGUUGUCAAACGAGCGUUGAUCCCAGG
This 115-nucleotide ribosomal RNA is filed under the name Fuerstiella sp. Its description in RNAcentral is "partial 23S ribosomal RNA". It matches the Rfam family "Bacterial large subunit ribosomal RNA", at positions 1 to 109 of the family's 2925-position model. Lineage: Bacteria; Pseudomonadati; Planctomycetota; Planctomycetia; Planctomycetales; Planctomycetaceae. The record is from RNAcentral.